This 415-nucleotide ribosomal RNA is filed under the name uncultured bacterium. RNAcentral's name for it is "bacterial SSU rRNA". It matches the Rfam family "Bacterial small subunit ribosomal RNA", at positions 27 to 416 of the family's 1533-position model. The record is from RNAcentral.
GGACGAACGCUGGCGGCGUGCUUAACACAUGCAAGUCGAGCGAGAUCCAUCCAGUGGCAACACUGGUGAAGAUCUAGCGGCGAACGGGUGAGUAACACGUGAGCAACCUGCCCCGAAGACCGGGAUAACAGCGGGAAACCGCUGCUAAUACCGGAUGCCCUCACCGGGCCGCAUGACCUGGUGAGGAAAUGGCUGAGUCUUAAUAAACUCAGUCCGCUUCGGGAGGGGCNCGCGGGCUAUCAGCUUGUUGGUGAGGUAACGGCUCACCAAGGCUACGACGGCUAGCUGGUCUGAGAGGACGACCAGCCACACUGGGACUGAGACACGGCCCAGACUCCUACGGGAGGCAGCAGUGGGGAAUCUUGCGCAAUGGGCGAAAGCCUGACGCAGCAACGCCGCGUGGGAGAUGAAGGCC